Molecule: long non-coding RNA, 2173 nt
Organism: Frieseomelitta varia
Lineage: Eukaryota; Metazoa; Arthropoda; Insecta; Hymenoptera; Apidae
Exons: 2
Source: RefSeq, a predicted model, not a curated record
ACGUACUGAGCCCCAGCCCUGACCUGCCUCGCGCGGCACCCUCUCGCGGCACGCUACCCCACUAUCGCAUCGGCGGGAUGUACAGGGUGUUUCUGAAAUCGCGAAGUAUCUUGCACAAUCAAGCCCGUGAUGUUAACGAAACUUUACAAGUACACAGCAUGCAGUGUAUUGACCUUUCAACGAAUGAAACGUCCUGUAUAAUGGGGAUGCGCAUGGGGCGGGACAUCCCGCCGAAAUUUCUGGCGUGCGUCUACACGAAUUCGGGGCCUAUGCCAAUUUCUCGCAAUUAUCCUAUUUCUCUCGAUUUUUAAAUAGAUCAAUCCCACGAUCGCCCGUUUUCAAGAUCAUUUCGAGCUUAAUGUUAGAAAAUAACGAUUGUCGUGUGCAAAUGUUACCUACAAGCGAACGAACAAAUUUCAAGUAAAUGUUUGUUUCAAACGUACCUUGGCAAUGCUUCCCAAUAAGGAACGGCGAACAUUGCAAAUUAUUUAACGCGCGACUUUACGCAGUUCAAGUGCGUUUACGUGAUAUAAUAUUGCCAACGAAAAGGAAUACAGCUCUAGCCUAGCAGUAAUAUUCUAGCAGAGCCACAAACGACAUACUUUGUUCCUGUUUGGAUCGUAUGAUCGUCAUUCUUUUACAUCCUAUUUUGUUUCAAAAAAACGAGGUUAUUCUUUCGAUCGUUGGAAUUCGUCUGCAUCACGCUAAUCCCAUUCGCGCGUACAACAAAAAGACGAAAAUAGCCGAUAACACGGCUAAAAAUAAAUAUAUAACGUAUCUAAUAAUAAUAAUCUUAAAUAACGAAGUUCCACUAUACACUGUGUAGAUAUUUGUUCUGAAAAUUGUUAUCUCUCUCAUAAGUUUGCGAAACACUGCAUUGCGCUAUUGCACGGUACCACCACAAGCCUGCUUCCGGUGAAUUUAACAUGCACCAAUCCUCCCCCGUUUUACCUAAAAUUCGAAAAUUAUUGCGCACUGAGCAAAAGUAAAGUUGCACAGUGCAACAAACAUCGUAGAAAUUUAAAUAUAUUGAAAAAUGUAGCAUUAAGUUACAUUAAAAGAAGCUUUAUACAUUGAAGUUACAAUAAUCACGAUUUCUAACCUCGACCUACAUCUUAUGACUAAUAAAACGUAAUUGACCUAAUUAAUGAAACAUAAUUUUUUUUUUUUUUUUUUGUCAAUUUAAAAUGUUAUUACCUGAAGAAAUCAGAUUUAGACAGGAAACUUACCCCGUUUGGGGAUUCACGUCGCCUUGUGUGUAUUCGUUUCGUUCGUACGUGGCCAUUCCCGUGAGCGAGACAUAACACUAAAUGUUAGAGUAUCUUUCGUCGUGGCGGAGGAUUUUUCGUUUUCACAUGUCGAUCGUAUCACGUUCAUGCUGCUUUCGAAAUGCAGAGCCGCAUAUUUGCGAAAAUUUCUUUCUCCUUACAGCUGCGCUAUCGGUAUGCACGUGCGCACUGGCUGCAACGAAAUGUAUCGCAAUUCCCGCUUCAAGAUCACCUCGAACUUGUUUAAUUUUUUUUUGAACUGAUCUGGACGCUUCGUGAAUAAUUUUUUCUGCAAAUUCAUCGACACCUACGAUCCCACGCGCUAGCGAGUCCAAGUCGUUCAAGUUACCGCCGUCUGCGAUGUUCUGUAAUAUUGUAAUAUUAUAAUGACAAAUGAAAGAUGAAUAACGAAUACAGUAAAUAUUCGAUUACGAUUCUCUCCUUCUCGGUGUUGCGUUUUGUUUGGGAUACGUGAAGAAUUAAAUGUGCGAUUGGACGUAACGAAUUGUGCAAAAAUUGAUAGUCUGUAAUGAUUGUUUAUGGAGGUUAGGUUUCUUCUUCUUCUUCAAGUUACAGCUGAAAACGUUAAAUACUUUCUUUUUUCUCUCAGAUUAAUUAUCCGAGACAUUUGACUUAAAGAGUUGCUUAUGCCUCUCCUUUAUUCGAUAUUGCAGCCAUAAUAAUUAUCCAUGUAAAUACGUAUAAAAAAGUAUAAAUAGAUUAUACAUUGCAUAUACAUGUAAAGCAGCUUGAUAUUACAGAUAAUGCGCCAAAGGGCUAUGAAUAUGUUAGGAGUAAAUUACUACCUUAAUUAAAAUUGAAUAAAUAAUUCAAUUGUAAGUUGCACAAGGCACGCAAUUCUGAAUGCAUUGCUUGAGAAGUAAAGAGAUCAUUUCAAUAACAUU